AGGGACUCCACCUUGGACUCCAGUUGCUCCCGUCUGGACAGCUCCUCCUCCCAUCUGCAACACAGAGCACAUGCAUGGAUCGCACACGAGGCACUUGGCACAUACUGCUUCAAUCAGUCCAGUGUGCUGCUAAUAGACACUCAUCUGAUCGCUGGGAUAUGAGAGAGCAGGCAUGCUGAGUCACGGAUGUUUCCCAAACAGAGUCUGAACUUCAGAAUGGACAAGGAACUCAUUGAAUAAAACAAGAGAAGUAUUCCUUGGCAGGACGUGCGAGCCCACACUGUGAUUGAAGCCUUGUUCUAAAAUUGCUGGCAGUGCUGCUUCACUGUGUCCACAACACUCCGCCUGCCUGCUGCAGGGCUCUCGCUAAGGUCGUCGGAGUUCACAACUGCAUCACAUCCUCUGCAGACAGAAAACAGUUUGUCACAGCAUCUGCCUGUGAUCUGCAUCAUUGGUGUUGGAGGCACACGGUCCCAUACGGAAAUCUAAUACGUACCCCCUUACCAGAGAAAUGUUAUAUAGGUUAGAUUAUGUUACAGCUACAGCCAUAAAUGAACCAUAUACAUAUAUCACCUUUGGCCAUGGUGAUGUGUAGCCUAUAUGUUGAACAUAUAUGUGUGCAAAUACCUAUCUAUCUAUAUAUGUGUAUG
Long non-coding RNA from Myripristis murdjan (pinecone soldierfish), 650 nucleotides. RefSeq lists it as uncharacterized. Lineage: Eukaryota; Metazoa; Chordata; Actinopteri; Holocentriformes; Holocentridae. The record is from RefSeq and is a predicted model, not a curated record. The transcript is spliced from 3 exons.